GAUGAACGCUGGCGGCGUGCCUAAUACAUGCAAGUCGAGCGAACGGACGAUAAGCUUGCUUCUCUGAUGUUAGCGGCGGACGGGUGAGUAACACGUGGAUAACCUUCCUAUAAUACUGGGAUAACUUCGGGAAACCGGAUCUAAUACCGGAUAAUACUUUCAACCGCAUGGUUCAAAAGUGAAAGACGGUCUUGCUGUCACUUAUAGAUGGAUCCGCGCUGCAUUAGCUAGUUGGUAAGGUAACGGCUUACCAAGGCAACGAUGCAUAGCCGACCUGAGAGGAUGAUCGGCCACACUGGAACUGAGACACGGUCCAGACUCCUACGGGAGGCAGCAGUAGGGAAUCUUCCGCAAUGGGCGAAAGCCUGACGGAGCAACGCCGCGUGAGUGAUGAAGGUCUUCGGAUCGUAAAACUCUGUUAUUAGGGAAGAAAAUAUGUGUAAGUAACUGUGCACAUCUUGACGGUACCUAAUCAGAAAGCAACGGCUAACUACGUG
RNAcentral lists this ribosomal RNA (497 nucleotides) under uncultured bacterium. RNAcentral describes it as "partial 16S ribosomal RNA". It matches the Rfam family "Bacterial small subunit ribosomal RNA", at positions 28 to 507 of the family's 1533-position model. The record is from RNAcentral.